UACGUAGGGGGCAAGCGUUGUCCGGAAUCAUUGGGCGAAAAGAGCGUGUAGGCGGCUCGAUAAGGCUGCUGUGAAAGUCCAGGGCUCAACCCUGGAAGGCCGGUGGAAACUGUCGGGCUAGAGUCCGGAAGAGGCGAGUGGAAUUCCCGGUGUAGCGGUGAAAUGCGCAGAUAUCGGGAGGAACACCAAUGGCGAAGGCAGCUCGCUGGGACGGUACUGACGCUGAGACGCGAAAGCGUGGGGAGCAAACAGG
RNAcentral lists this ribosomal RNA (253 nucleotides) under uncultured bacterium. RNAcentral's name for it is "partial 16S ribosomal RNA". It matches the Rfam family "Bacterial small subunit ribosomal RNA", at positions 524 to 776 of the family's 1533-position model. The record is from RNAcentral.